ACGGGUGAGUAAUGUAUCGGAACGUGCCCAAUCGUGGGGGAUAACGUAGAGAAAUUUACGCUAAUACCGCAUACGAUCUAAGGAUGAAAGCGGGGGAUCGCAAGACCUCGCGCGAUUGGAGCGGCUGAUAUCAGAUUAGGUUGUUGGUGAGGUAAAAGCUCACCAAGCCGACGAUCUGUAGCUGGUUUGAGAGAACGACCAGCCACACUGGGACUGAGACACGGCCCAGACUCCUACGGGAGGCAGCAGUGGGGAAUUUUGGACAAUGGGCGCAAGCCUGAUCCAGCAAUGCCGCGUGCAGGAAGAAGGCCUUCGGGUUGUAAACUGCUUUUGUACGGAACGAAACGGUUCUUUCUAAUAAAGAGAGCUAAUGACGGUACCGUAAGAAUAAGCACCGGCUAACUACGUGCCAGCAGCCGCGGUAAUACGUAGGGUGCGAGCGUUAAUCGGAAUUACUGGGCGUAAAGCGUGCGCAGGCGGUUAUGUAAGACAGUUGUGAAAUCCCCGGGCUCAACCUGGGAAUUGCAUCUGUGACUGCAUAGCUAGAGUACGGUAGAGGGGGAUGGAAUUCCGCGUGUAGCAGUGAAAUGCGU
RNAcentral lists this ribosomal RNA (593 nucleotides) under Polaromonas sp. StTD665. Its description in RNAcentral is "bacterial SSU rRNA". It matches the Rfam family "Bacterial small subunit ribosomal RNA", at positions 102 to 691 of the family's 1533-position model. The record is from RNAcentral. RNAcentral also lists the same sequence under 2 other names. Lineage: Bacteria; Pseudomonadati; Pseudomonadota; Betaproteobacteria; Burkholderiales; Comamonadaceae.